CUGAGCCGAUCCUCAAACAGGAGCGUGGGUUUUAUCGUCUGCGUCGUCGCCAUGAAGCUGCUGGUUUUGUGUCUGCUCUUUGGGGCUGUAGUUACCAUGACAACAGCAGAGAAAUCUGAGGACGAGAUGAACUCUGGAG
Molecule: long non-coding RNA, 139 nt
Organism: Periophthalmus magnuspinnatus
Lineage: Eukaryota; Metazoa; Chordata; Actinopteri; Gobiiformes; Gobiidae
Exons: 3
Source: RefSeq, a predicted model, not a curated record